Callithrix jacchus (white-tufted-ear marmoset) is the source of this 4446-nucleotide long non-coding RNA. RefSeq lists it as uncharacterized. The record is from RefSeq and is a predicted model, not a curated record. Lineage: Eukaryota; Metazoa; Chordata; Mammalia; Primates; Cebidae.
CCAGGUGGUGCCGGCGGCCGCGGCGGUUCCUGGGACUCAGAGAGCCGGCUGCGAGGAGAAAGCAGCUUCUCGUCUAUCCCGGUCUGAGAAGGCGGAGGCUUUUCCGGCUGCUCUUCCAGGGAAUACAACUGGGACGGUGGUGGAAUUGAGGGAAGAAGCAGAAAAGCUCUAGAAGAGGACUGGAGGAGAAGCAGGAUGACUACAGACCCCAUGAUGCACAUGGAAAUGAGCAUGAAGCUGCAGCACUUGCUCCGAGCCAUGUGCAUAUGAAAGCACACAAUAAUCUCUUAAGAACUGAAGAAAUCUUGGAACAAAGAAAAAGAGUGAAGAAAAGCAUUCAGAAAAAGGGAAGAAAUGUGUGUAGUCCCUCUACUUAAGGAAAGGAUCGGAGGUGGGAAGAUCUUCCUUCAACAAUUUAGAUCAACAUUUGUUAGGUAUAUGUGGUUUGCCACAUAUGUUGUGGGCCAUAUGUGUUGAGGAUGCAGUAAUCAGAAAGACUGAGUCUCAGCUAUUAAGGAGAUCACAGUUUGGCAGCAAAUAUUAUAGAAUGUGGUGGCUGUUCUAACAGACAUCAGUGCUAUGGAAGCAGAGAGGAAGAAGUUAAUAGUGUCUAAGAACCUAGAAGGGAUGAAGAUGAAAAUUGAGAUUUGAAACGUGAGAAAGUCAUUAAGACAAGGAUGACUUAAAGCUUCUGCUUCAAGUUUACUUCCAGCCUGGCAAGGAGUGAGUCUUCCAAGCACAACCACCCAGUGUCCAAGGAGUCUGGAACACCUUUCUCAUCUCUACUGCAUGUACUCCUCCCACACCCACCAAGAAGAAAGGAAGCCAGGAAGAGUGGACAGAUCCAGAGCCACAGAGGGUGAUGAACGAUGUAGAUGUAUCAAUCCUGAGGCUAAACAGUAAUUGGGCAAAGUUUUGGUGAGACACUCCCAUUGCCUCUGAUGACAAGGAAUGUUUUCUCUUGAAAGGCUUAAAAUUGGCAGAAUGCGGUGGCUCAAACCUAUAAUCCCAGCGCUUUGGGAGGCUGAGGCAGGUGGAUGAAUUGAGCUGAAAAGUUCAAGAUCAGCCUAGGCAACAUGGUGAAAGCUUGUUUCUACAAAAAAUUAAAAAAAAAAAAAAAAUAGCCAGGUAUGGUGGCAUGUGCCUGUAGUUCCAGCUACUUAGGAGGCUGAGGAGGGAAGAUAGCGUGAGCCCAAAAGGUGGAGGUUGCAGUGUCACUGAACUCCAGCCUGGUCAACAGAGCCAGACCCUGCCUAAAAAAAAAAGGCAGUGGGGCGGGGAAGGCUUAAAAUCAAUGUCAUUGUCCUUUAUUUAAAAUGUUUUAGGCUGGGCGUAGUGGCUUACACCUGUAAUCCCAGCACUUAGGGAGACCGAGGCAGGAGAAUCACCUGAGGUCAGAAAUUCAAGACCAGCCUGGCCAACAUGACAAAACCCCAUCUCUACUAAAAAAUAAAAACAUUAGCCAGGUGUGGUGGUGCACACCUGUAAUCCCAGCUACUCUGGAGGCUAAGGCAGGGAGAACCGCUAGAACCUGGGAGGCAGAAGUUGCAGUGAGCCAAGAUCGCAUCGCUACACUCCCACCCUGGGCAACAGAGUGAAGCUCCAUCUCAAAAAAAAAAAAAAAGAUAGGUUUUACAUUUUAAAAUUUUAUUACAAAAGUAAUACAUGUAUUCAUGAAUGCCAAUUGGAAAACAAGUCAGCAAAACAUAGUAAGUACAACAUGGAUUCAUACUCCUACCUCCCAGGAAAAAAUCAGUGUUAGCAAAUAGAUUUCACAUUCACACCCCUCCAAAUUUAUCUAUGUGUACUUAGAUAUAACUUUCAUACAGCAAAGUAUAUACAAGUGUAUAGCUAGAUAAAAUCUCACAACAUAAACACAGCCAUAUGGCCACCAUUUAGAUUAAAAGAAAGACAGAAACACACAUAACUAACAUCCAGAAGUCCCCAUGAUGACCCUUCCAGCAGUUAUUCUCUCUUCUACAAAAGUAACACCAUGGGAGGAGGGAGGAAAGGGGGUGGUGACUGCUUAAAAGUUCAGGAACCCAGCACUUUGGGGGGCCGAGGCGGAUGGACCACAAGGUCAAGAGAUCGAGACCAUCCUGGUCAACAUGGUGAAACCCCCAUCUCUACUAAAAUACAAAAAAAUAGCUGGGCAUGGUGGCGCCUGCCUGUAAUCCCAGCUACUCAGGAGGCUGAGGCAGAAUUGCCUGAACCCAGGAGGCGGAGGUUGCGGUGAGCCGAGAUCACGCCAUUGCACUCCAGCCUGGGUAAUAAGAGUGAAACUCCAUCUCAAAAAAAAAAAAAAAAAAAAAAGUUCAGGAACUAGACAGUGGUAAUGGUUAUACAACUUAUGAAUGUGCUGAAUGCCACUGAGUCGUACACUUUAAAGUAUCAGAUUUUAUGUUAUGUGUAUUUUAUCACAAUUUUUUUAAAAUGAAGGUAAAAUUAACUACGGUCUUCUAAUAGCAUAGAUCAACUUUGCCUGCUUAACUUUUAUAAAUGGAAUCAUAAUCUUUUGUGUCUGUUUUUUGUUUUUUUGAGAUGGAGUUUCACUCUUGUUGCCCAGGCUGGAGUGCAAUGGCACAACCUCGGCUCAUUGCAACCUCUGCCUCCCAGGUUCAAGCAAUCCUUCUGCCCCAGCCUCCUGGGUAGCUGGGAUUACAGGCCUAUGCCACCAUGCCUGGCUACUAUUUUGAAUUUUUAGUAGAGACAGGUUUUCACCAUGUUGGCCAGGCUGGUCUCAAACUCCUGACCUCAGGUGAUCCACCUGCCUCAGCCUCCCAAAGCACUGGGAUUACAAGUGGGAGCAACCACACCUGGCUUACUAAAAAUAACAAAAAUUAGCUGAGUAUGGUGGCACACACCUGUAGUCGGAGGCUGGGGCAGGAGAAUUGCUUGAACCUGGGAGGCAGAGGUUGCAGUGAGCCGAGAUGGCACCACUGCACUCGAGUCUGAGCAACAGAGCAAGAUUAUGUCUCAAAAAAAAAGAAGAAGAAGAAGAAGAUAAUGGCCCCUGUGGGAAGCUUUGGCAUGAUUUGUGGUACAGAGGAGAGGCUUUUUUUUUUAAAAAAAAAGAGGCUUUUUUUUUUUAAAGCAUGUUAGAAUCAUGAACACUGCUGAAUAUAGUUGUAGUUCAUUCAUCUUUAUUGUUGUGGACUAUUCCAGUGUAUGAAUAUACUGUCAUUUAUCAAUUUCACCAUUGAUGGGUAUUUGGGUUGUUUCCUAGUUGGACUAUUAAAAAUCACACUGCGGUGAACACUCUUGUUCACACUUUUGGUAUACAGAUACAGUCAUGUACCAUGUAAUGACUUCUCCGUCAACAGCAGAUUGCAAAAUACAAAGGUGGUCCCCAUAAAAUUGUAACACCAUAUUUUUGCUGUACCUUUCCUAUAUUUAGAUAGAUACACGAAUACAUAUCAUUGUGUUUCAACUGCCUACAGUAAUGGCAGAAAUUCCAGUGGGCACUGGGGAUGCAGUCACUGUAUUGAGUACAGCAUAACAUGCUGUACAAGUUUGUAGCCUAGGAGCCAUAGUCUAGACCCUACAGGCCAGGUGUGUAGCAGCUACACCAUCCUGGGAUUGUGUAAAUACACUCUAUGAUGUUCACACAACAAAAAAAUCACUGAGACACAUUUUUGAGAAUGUAUCCCAUUGUCAAUUGACACAUGACUGUAUAUGCAUUUCUGUUGGGUACAUAACUAAAUCAUAUAUUUUUUAAUGGAGCAUACUGUAAUAUAGCCUUGUAACCACCUUUCUUUUUAAAAUUUUUUAAAUCUUCAGUUCACUUCAGUCUCAUCUUUUUUAUUUACUAUUUCUCAAACUCUCCAUACCAAUAAGUAUUUUCGAUAACUAUUUUUCACAGCUAUAUAGUGUUCCCUUUUAGGCAAGUCUGUGCACAUACCUUUUCUUUCCAAGUAAAAUUGCUGGGUUAAAGUUUUAAUGUUUUUUGAAUAUUAAUUACUAAACUGACUUCCAGAAGUGUUGCUAUUACCAGGAUUACCCUGGGGUCUAGGGCAACAGCACCAAUGACCAACACCUCUACAACUCUUUCCCUUCUUGUCCCUUUCCUUUUUUGAGUCAGAGUCUCACACUAUCACCCAGGCUGGAGUGCAGUGGUGCCAUCUUGGCUCGCUGCAACCUCUGCCUCCUGGGUUCAAGUGAUUCUCAAGUCUCAGGCUCCUGGGUAACUGGGACUACAGGCACCUGCCACCAUGCCUGGCUAAUUUUUGUAUUUUUAGUAGAGAUGGAGUUUCACCACAUUGGCCAGGCUGGUCUCAAACUCCUGACCUCAAGUGAUCUGCCCACCUCGGCCGUAAGGGGUGGAGCAAGAAUACAACAAAAGUAAUGAGUAGGAGCUAUCCUAUAAGGAGCCUCUCCUCUGUACCACAAAUCAUGCCAAAGCUUCCCACAGGGGCCAUUAUCUUCUUCUUCUUCUUCUUCUUCUUC